Long non-coding RNA from Mya arenaria, 258 nucleotides. RefSeq lists it as uncharacterized. The transcript has 3 exons. The record is from RefSeq and is a predicted model, not a curated record. Lineage: Eukaryota; Metazoa; Mollusca; Bivalvia; Myida; Myidae.
GGAAAACAUAUGCCCCAAACUUUGGUAGCGUCUAAACAACGUGUGUAUUUUACAGACAUCGGAGGACAGCUUCCUGCAGCAUCCUCGAUUUUAACAGGUACACCUGAUAAUGACUUCUUGGACUUACGUGAAACAAAAUCAAAGAAAAACAAUUCCGUCAACAAAGACUCAGAUCAGACGUAGAAUAGUUGCGCCAUUCUUAUAAAGAUAACAAGGAGUAACAACUAAAAGUGCCCGUCUGCUUCACACGUGAACGUA